UACGUAGGGUGCAAGCGUUAAUCGGAAUUACUGGGCGUAAAGCGUGCGCAGGCGGCUUUGCAAGACAGAUGUGAAAUCCCCCGGGCCCAACCUGGGAACUGCAUUUGUGACUGCAAGGCUAGAGUACGGUAGAGGGGGAUGGAAUUCCGCGUGUAGCAAUGAAAUGCGUAGAUAUGCGGAGGAACACCGAUGGCGAAGGCAAUCCCCUGGACCUGUACUGACGCUCAUGCACGAAAGCGUGGGGAGCAAACAGG
This 254-nucleotide ribosomal RNA is filed under the name uncultured bacterium. Its description in RNAcentral is "partial 16S ribosomal RNA". It matches the Rfam family "Bacterial small subunit ribosomal RNA", at positions 524 to 776 of the family's 1533-position model. The record is from RNAcentral.